AUUGAACGCUGGCGGCAUGCCUUACACAUGCAAGUCGAACGGCAGCACGGGUGCUUGCACGUGGUGGCGAGUGGCGAACGGGUGAGUAAUACAUCGGAACAUGUCCUGUAGUGGGGGAUAGCCCGGCGAAAGCCGGAUUAAUACCGCAUACGAUCCACGGAUGAAAGCGGGGGACCUUCGGGCCUCGCGCUAUAGGGUUGGCCGAUGGCUGAUUAGCUAGUUGGUGGGGUAAAGGCCUACCAAGGCGACGAUCAGUAGCUGGUCUGAGAGGACGACCAGCCACACUGGGACUGAGACACGGCCCAGACUCCUACGGGAGGCAGCAGUGGGGAAUUUUGGACAAUGGGCGAAAGCCUGAUCCAGCAAUGCCGCGUGUGUGAAGAAGGCCUUCGGGUUGUAAAGCACUUUUGUCCGGAAAGAAAUCCUUGGCUCUAAUACAGUCGGGGGAUGACGGUACCGGAAGAAUAAGCACCGGCUAACUACGUG
This 486-nucleotide ribosomal RNA is filed under the name uncultured bacterium. Its description in RNAcentral is "partial 16S ribosomal RNA". It matches the Rfam family "Bacterial small subunit ribosomal RNA", at positions 30 to 507 of the family's 1533-position model. The record is from RNAcentral.